UAGUUUAUUUAUUCUGAAAAUAAAAUAAAUAUUUUAAAGAGUAAGGUCAGAUUUUUUUCCCAUUUAAUCCGAAUUCUGAAAGAAAUAAUUCCAUAAAAUAUUUUUCAAAAUAAAAAGAACCAGGAAUCCAACCCGUUCGUUGGUAGCAUCUGGGCCGUACUUCUAAAAAAAAUACUAACGAAAUCUUAAGAGUCCAUUAUAUGAGGUAAUCGUAUUGUUGAAAUAUUGUCUAGCUUUUUUCGAUCACGAAGUAUAUGAAUUACUAAUUUGGUUUUACUAAUACUUGCAUCAAGUUUGAUAUAUAGGCUUUUUUUUAUUUUUUAUUGAAAAUUUCAAGAAAAAAUUGAGACAAAUUCCCUGCCGUAUCAUCAAUAAGCCAUGUGACUAAGAAAUAAUAAAUAUUUUUUAUAUUUAUUAUUUUUUUUACCUCUUCCGCAUCGCGAGGGUAUUUUGCUUGUACUUUUAUAGGGGACGAGGACAGGGAGCAGGAGUAGUAGUAGGAUGCUCGCAGAACUACCCAGUUUUUCACGGGUCUGGUUCCAGGUGCUUUAUCUUUUCAUCGAAAAGCAUCAGAGAAGCGCUUGGCCCUCGCGUCCAGCCGCAAUAUGGGAUUCGGGGCCCGUCGGAGAUCUGGGCCGCCCGGGUCGAUGAAGAUAGAAGACCGCUUAGAUUCGAGGUGGCCCCGGGAACCAAGAUUCCUGCCCGGAAGGCGUUCGAUGAAAUCUCUCACCCAGAGGCGGCGCCUGCUGCUGAUCGCCUCCGUCUCCUCCGUGUGACUGCAUUGACGGGGAUCUUUGCUCCGCUAAUGAUUCCACGCCAUGUCUAGGAUGGAAGUAUAGUUAGUCACUGUGUUUCUGGAGCUGCUAUUCCUGUGAUAAAAGAGGCAACGAUUUCUACUUUUAUACAUGAUUUGGAAACUCACCCAACGGUUUACAUUAGUGUACUUGGGGGAGAAGCUGCAUGAUGAGUACUUAACUGAGUCUAUCCACCAUAGUCUAUUGGAGCAAGUGCUUGGGGACAGGUAAGCUCCCAAUCUAAGCCAACUAGAUUUUGUAUAUCACAAAGAAAUGGAAAUGAUAUGGUUGCUUGGUAGGUUUUGAACAGAAUUGGUUUUGGAAUGGCAUAGUUUUGUUAAAACCAACAUGCAAUCUUAAGGACAAGGACACGUCUUGCAUCAAAUUUGAGCUGUCUGUCAGUACCUUCUGUAAUUGGCCUGUUGUAGGGCUUUUAUUCUUUGGGCCACUGGUCAAGCUGGAGCACUGUUUUUGUGUCUAAUGACCAAUUGGUACAAAUAUCCUGAUAACACCCUCUUUAGGUGAGCAUUAAUAAAGAAAUUAAAGCAACAUUGCCAGCUGGUGCUGUUGGUAAAUUAACUGGUGGGUUUGAGUUCCACCCUCACCUGAUUUUCAGCUGGGCUUCCUCCCAUCCUAGUUCUCAAAAAAAUAAAAAGCAAUUAAAGAAAAAAAAAUCACAUGUGAUUCUGUUAAAAAUGUUGGUGCAAUACAUGGAUGAUGGAGAAAUGUUUUUGCUAGGUAAUGUCAUUCCUUCAUUUUUUUGGUAAUAAAUCUGUGAAAUUUUUUAUACUCAUAGAACUACUACCAUAUCCGAAUGUUCCCAGUGAACUAGCUAAUGAUGCUUCGCAUUUGAUCCCUUAAGCUAAUUGAUCUAAAUUAUCAUACUAGUUCUCGUGAAUGUCAUUUAUUUGAUUUAUCAAGGUACAUUACAUGACAGUGUAGCCUCUUUCUAACAAAGUAAUGGCACCUUCCAUAUACUAUGUUAGCAUCUUUCAGUUGGAUACGGGGGCAAAUUUCUUUUGGGAUGUUAGAACUUUCUCUUUUAACAAUGAUCGUAGAAUAAGAUGUUUAUGAGAAGAAAACCUUUAAUAAGAUGUAGUUUUAAGGAGCAGUCCAUAAAAUUUGAAAAUCCAGACUCAAUGCAUUGCCAUGUUUGAUCGCUAGAUUUCCAUACUCUCAUAGCAUCAAUCAGAGUGUGCCCAAAAGCUGAAUUGUGAAUUCUUUGACCAACUUGUUCGCUAGGCCCAGAAGAGCACAUCCGUAUGCAUAAAAGAUCCUACGAGAAAAAUUUGAUCAUAGUCUGAGCACAUUGUAUUGAGUUGGUGCAGCACAUAAAAGAAGCUUCAGUGAUUUUGCAGCCAAGCUAACUCAAAGAAUAUGAAAAGUUUGCCAAUAAGAGCCUAGGGUAGAACCCCUGUGACAAUAUCAUCUACAUCUGUGAUAUUUUGACGUUUUCGCUGGCAUGGAAGAAAUAGUUUCUGUGUUUCCAAGCAAAACGCUGAAGCUCCACACCACAAAUUCAUGGCAUUUUCUAGGUCUCUACAGCACUACACCAUGAAAUUGAAGCAGAGAGCAACAACAUAAUUGGCAUGCUUGACACUGGACUUUGGCCAGAACAUGAGAGCUUUUGAGGUGAUGCUCACAGUGCACCACCAGAGUACGUGUCCUAUUAUAUAUGCAGGCAAUGCGCAAAACAAGUUUUCUGCUGGCAAAUCAAGGUAAUGUUUUCAAUUUGUCAGAUGAUCCCAUUUGAUGAUUUGCCUCUUGGGCUUCACUCUUUUAUAUAUACAUAGUUUUCUCUUCUUUCUUUUCCUUCUUUGGUCUAUCGGAGAGGUACUGCGAACCAGGCUCCGUGGAUAGUGAUCUGGUAAAGGGUAGGAUGUUUUUAUGGGAAGCAAUUCAUGCAGAUAAUGGACCUGUCGUUGAUGCAUCUCAGGGGACUGAUAUAUAUCAAGCAAUUACCAUCCUGAAGUAUAAACUACACAAGCAAUUAACAUCUUUUAUAUAUUGGCAAAUGAAAGCAGAUUUUCGAUUACCAUACUCAAGAGCAUUGGCAAAUGAAAGCAGAGUCAAAACCGGACAAGUAAUCAACAUCUUCCUCUUCUAUUAUAUGUAACCAUUCUCUCCUCUGACAUUUUGCUCUCGUUACUUCAUUAUUUGUUUUCUUUGAACAAGCCCAUGGCUCUAAUUAACUUCUGUGAUGUCAAUUUGUAAUGUUUGUGUAUGAUCAUGCUGAUUUUGCCCAACAAUUGCACCAUUCCAAAGUUCCUAGUCAAGUGCAAUUCACAGAGGUCACCAUAUCCUAUUGAGACUAGCUAUUAUGGAAGGCAUUUGCAUGGCUUUGCUUGAUGCUUCAAGUACCAACUCUUCAGAAGUUAUUUA
Phoenix dactylifera (date palm) is the source of this 3176-nucleotide non-coding RNA. The record is from RefSeq and is a predicted model, not a curated record. NCBI's taxonomy places the organism in Eukaryota, Viridiplantae, Streptophyta, Magnoliopsida, Arecales, Arecaceae.